Molecule: ribosomal RNA, 454 nt
Filed under: uncultured bacterium
Lineage: Bacteria
Description: bacterial SSU rRNA
Rfam family: Bacterial small subunit ribosomal RNA
Source: RNAcentral
UACGGGAGGCAGCAGUGGGGAAUAUUGCACAAUGGGCGAAAGCCUGAUGCAGCUAUGCCGCGUGUAUGAAGAAGGCCUUAGGGUUGUAAAGUACUUUCAUCGGGGAGGAAAAACAAAACUAAUAAUUUUAUUUCUUGACGUUACCCGAAAAAGAAGCACCGGCUAACUCCGUGCCAGCAGCCGCGGUAAUACGGAGGGUGCUAGCGUUAAUCAGAAUUACUGGGCGUAAAGAGCACGUAGGUGGUUUUUUUAAGUCAGAUGUGAAAUCCCUGGGCUUAACCUGGAACUGCAUUUUGAAACUGAAAUACUAGAGUAUCGUAGAGGGAGGUAGAAUUCUAGGUGUAGCGGUGAAAUGCGUAGAUAUCUGGAGGAAUACCUAUGGCGAAAGCGGCCUCCUAAACGAAUACUGACACUGAGGUGCGAAAGCGUGGGGAGCAAACAGGGAUUAGAUACC